ACCUCUUUUUGUGCAGCACAUCAAUCUCAUCAUUAUAUCAUCAAAUAAGUUGACAUUUUUCUUUGCAAGGCAUUCUACAGCUGAUUAGUAUAAUUUAAAUGAUGAAAAAUAUGUGGAAAAUACAAGUAUUUGAUGUUCUUGAACUGUGAUUCAAAAGUUAACUGGGUUCAAAUACAGUAUCUCUAUCUCUGCCUCUGCCCUCAUCUCUAAUAAAUAAGUGCAAUAUUUCAGUUUAUUCAUUAUGACUGACAUCAUGAAGGCUCCUCCAACUAUUCUCUCACAUCAUUUAUAUAUCUCUUUUCAUACAUCUUCUGAAUUUAACAUGGAUGUUGAUCAGUUUGAAGAACAAAAUAUGUUGAAGUCUUCUUCAAUUAUUUCUCUGUGUUAAUGUAUCAUUACAGUUUCAUCACAAUCAACAGC
This 420-nucleotide small RNA is filed under the name Histoplasma capsulatum. Its description in RNAcentral is "hypothetical RNA". Lineage: Eukaryota; Fungi; Ascomycota; Eurotiomycetes; Onygenales; Ajellomycetaceae. RNAcentral also lists the same sequence under 1 other name. The record is from RNAcentral.